This 1769-nucleotide long non-coding RNA is filed under the name Salmo salar (Atlantic salmon). RNAcentral's name for it is "lncRNA (ENSSSAG00000087412.1)". The record is from RNAcentral. Lineage: Eukaryota; Metazoa; Chordata; Actinopteri; Salmoniformes; Salmonidae.
GUGUGCAGAACUAAAUAUAAACUAUAAAAUAUAAAUGCAAGUUUCAAGGAUUUUAGAUGAGUUGAGGUAAUCAGUCAAUUGAAAUAAAUUAUUUAGGCCCUAAUCUAUGGAUUAGGGCCCACCCACUUGGAUUUAGGCCUACCCACUUGGGAACCAGGCCCAGCCAAUAAGAAUUAGUUUUUCCCUCCCAAAAAGGGCUUUAUUACAGACAGAAAUACUCGACAGUUUCAUCAGCUGCCCGGUUGGCUGGUCUCAGAUGAUCCCGCAGGUGAAGAAGCCGGAAGUCGAGGUCUUGGGUUGGUGUGGUUACAUGUGGUCUGCGGUUAUGAAUCCGGUUGGACAUACUUCCAAAUUCUCGAGACCCGUAAUCAUCCACAAUGGCAAAACAACAAGGCACAGGUACUCACACAACCAACGGACAUUGUAACAAUAAUCGACAGGACAAUGGGGAACAAAGGGCACACGUAUACAAUUACUAAUCAAAUGGGAAUAGGGACCAUGUGUGCGUAAUGACAGUUCCGGAGGGAUCCGUGACAGCUACAUGUUUUAAAGUGGCCUUUUAUUGUCCCCAGCACAAGGUACACCUGUGUAAUGAUCAUGCUGUUUAAUUACUUUCUUGAUAUGCCACACCUGUCAGGUGGAUAGAUUAUCUCGGCAAAGGAGAAAUGCUCACUAACAGGGAUGUAAACACAUUUGUGCACAAAAUACGUUUUUUGUACGUAUGUAACAUUUCUGGGACACUUUACAUGUUGCGUUUAUAUUUUUGUUCAGUAUAGAAAGAAAAUAGAAAAAUAACAUUUGCGAGACAAGGUGAAGAAAGGAGAGAUGAGAUGAGGGAAGGAGAGAUAAGGAGAGAUAAGGUGAGGGAAGGAGAGAUAAGGUGAGGGAAGGAGAGAGAAGGUGAGGGAAGGAGAGAGAAGGUGAGGGAAGGAGAGAUAAGGAGAGAUAAGGUGAGGGAAGGAGAGAUAAGGUGAGGGAAGGAGAGAGAAGGUGAGGGAAGGAGAGAUAAAGUGAUGGAAGGAGAGAUAAGGUGAGGGAAGGAGAGAAGGGGAGAUAAGGGGAGAAAAGGUGAGGGAAGGAGAGAUAAGGAAAGGGAAGGAACUCUACACCUACCCCACUGGGCACGCACGGGUUUAAUAAACAUUGGUUCAACGUCAUUUGUCAACCUAUUUUGAUGUGGAAUCAACGUGGACAACACAUUUGGAUUCACAAAAAGUAAUCAACCAGCAUUGUAACCAUUGACAUUUGGGUAAAAUUUCAACUAAAAUAGAAUGACUUCUUAAACAGAUCAGAGACCAGGCUACAAUCUUGCAUCUUUAGAGCAAAGAGCUUCUUCAAAAAGAAACUCAACAUUGCUCUUAUGGUCUUAGCUGAAACAGACAACAAAAGGACAACCGUUGGAAGAACUAGGAACAAUCUACUCCUACUGUAAUUUGUAACUCUAUGCAUUCUGUGUGUUCAACUCCUCCGUGAAAGAACCAAUAGAGAUGAUGUAAACUAAAGAAAGCAUUGUUCAACUUUUUUCUCCUCUGUAGUCAACUGUAAAUAAAUUCAAUAAAAUAGUUUUUUUUUCCUGUAUUUCCAUUGUGUGGGUCUUUGUUGUCAGUAAUAUAUUAAUAUAUGAAGAAUAUAUAGUUAUCUUUUUAAGAAACUAGAGCCUUAGUGUGGAUUAGCCAUUGAGAUGUAUUAGAAUGGUAAACAUAAAAAAACACAGUUUUAACCUAUGUGCUUUAUUACAUAUUUACAUGUAUGGCGUAUUUAUUACAGAG